RNAcentral lists this ribosomal RNA (253 nucleotides) under uncultured bacterium. Its description in RNAcentral is "partial 16S ribosomal RNA". It matches the Rfam family "Bacterial small subunit ribosomal RNA", at positions 524 to 776 of the family's 1533-position model. The record is from RNAcentral. RNAcentral also lists the same sequence under 1 other name.
UACGUAGGAUGCAAGCGUUGUCCGGAAUUAUUGGGCGUAAAGAGCGCGCAGGCGGUACGACAAGUCAGAUGUGAAAUCUUUCGGCUUAACCGGAAGGGGUCAUUUGAAACUGUCGAACUAGAGUGCAGGAGAGGAUAGUGGAAUUCCCGGUGUAGUGGUGAAAUGCGUAGAUAUCGGGAGGAACACCAGUGGCGAAGGCGACUAUCUGGUCUGCAACUGACGCUGAGGCGCGAAGGCUAGGGGAGCAAACAGG